GUCACUUUUGACCGGGAAGAUAAAAAGUGUGACUCCGAAACGAAGAGCACCUGAGGGUUAAAUUAUUAUUUCUACAGUAAGUGAAUUGGUUGGCACUCUGGAGACAUGAUGAAAAGGGGUGAGAGAUAUAAGUGUGCAAUGUAUCAUGGUUCUUGGUUCAUGGUUCUUGUUAGAGUCAUGAUUUCCACUAUAUAAAGAAAGAAGCCUGUGCCACAUUAUUUCACAGCGGACCCUUUAGACUUACAGCUCUUGUAUUUCUUGAGUAAUAUUAAGUGAAAAUUCAGUUUUAUCAUUUAAAGUAAUUUUUUUUUAAAGAAAGGCAUAGCUUAUCUUGUGAAACCUUUGUAAAGUUUAUUUAGAUAUAUGUUUGUGAAUUUUUUUUUUUUUUUAAUUAUGUUUCAUAGUUUUUUAGGAGUAAUGAUUACUUGUUUUUAAUGAAAGUGUAGCCUACUUGCCUACAAAAUUACUCUGUGGCAUCCCUAAUUAUUACUUCUGAUUUACUGCACAUAAACACUCAAAACCACAUAUCCCAACUAGUUCUCCAAAAUUGCCUUCCAACAGCAUGUAAUAUCAAAUCUCCUUUAAAUUAAUACUCACAAAAAAUAUAUAUACAUUGGACCUAUAUUUACGCUCUUCAAGAUCUGAUUUCUUCCUUGCCUUCACUCUUGGUAACAAAAAUGUAAUUAUCGAAAGGGAAGUCCGUUUCUCCGUGUUUGCGCUCUCUCUUUUGUGCUGCCCUCAGUUUCACCAUGGUGAUGACUUAGUCCUGUUACGUACACUUCUUCAGUGUUAUGUCUUGUCUACUGGGGUGGUGGGGCGGGGAAAACGAGUGUCAUGAAGGUUAGCUUUCAACAUAUUUAACACACAUUCGAUGUAAUGUGCGCUACGAAUUUUAAACGACCCCUUGCAUGUUAAUUUUACAGAAUCCAUUUCCAUUUUACAGUUUAUACAGUUCCAUUUUACACAGACUGGACAUUUCUUUUCCUAUGGGAAUCCAUCACAAUUCAUUUCAAUGAGAAAGCUAUCAAAUGCUCAUGUGACAGCAGGAACUUGAAGUGGAAGAUAUGUUGACUUUCAGAUUCGACUUUAAAGAACAGGCUAAACUGUUGUAGUAUGUUGAAGACAGAGUGAUCGAAUUCCCUCUUUUCCUCCUCGGUCAAAAUCUUUCUACUUUAUGGUUAUUGUGAUUAGCUUAAUUGUUAUUCCUCUGACAAAACAGAGAAAAAAUGUUAGAAUGAUUUAAAAAAAAAGUAUAUAUUUUGUAUCUUGUGAUGACUAAUAAAACUUGUUUGUGAAGUGAUGCAGAGCAUCACUGUGUA
Non-coding RNA from Pimephales promelas (fathead minnow), 1319 nucleotides. The record is from RefSeq and is a predicted model, not a curated record. Lineage: Eukaryota; Metazoa; Chordata; Actinopteri; Cypriniformes; Leuciscidae.